AGCUUUGCGCAAUGGCAGUAUCGUAGCCAAUGAGGUUUGUCCGAGGUGCAAUUAUUGCUAAUUGAAAACUUUUAGCACUUUGAU
Molecule: small nuclear RNA, 84 nt
Organism: Panthera pardus (leopard)
Lineage: Eukaryota; Metazoa; Chordata; Mammalia; Carnivora; Felidae
Gene: U4
Rfam family: U4 spliceosomal RNA
About the family: U4 small nuclear RNA (U4 snRNA) is a component of the major U2-dependent spliceosome. The structure of U4 snRNA from yeast and human has been reported.
Source: Ensembl